AGAUUCUUCUUGGUUUCUCUCUGGAACAUUCCUUCUUCCUGGGUUAGGCAGGACCCCUUCAGGAAUGAGGUGUUAUGAUCUAUCAGUAUAAACUGAGAGAGAAGACUGCCCAAGUUCUGGCCUAUAGACAGAAGACUUCUAACAGUGAAGGACAUGUUUGCUUCCCUUUCCACCAUGAUUGCAAGUUUCCUGAGGCCUCCCUAGCCAUGCUGAACUCACAGUUUUUAAAGUAUCUAGUGUAUAUAAGGACAAGCCAUUCUCAGUCAAGCAUGAAACUGAAUCUGAGCAGGAAAAGAAGAAAGCUGAAAACACACUGAGGAUUAUGGGAGAGGGGCAAGUGCAUGAAGCUUCUCAAUGACAUACAGACACUCUAAAAGCUCAAGAGAUCAAUUAUUCAACUUCAAGAACUGAAAUUUGAACACAGAUUUUGAGCUUCCAAAUCAGGAGAAAAAGAAGUGUUCUAUAAGAAGUUUGGACAAGACUCUGCAAGAAGUUAAGAGGUCCUUAAAGGCAACUGUGAAUUAACGGAGACUAGUUUUGAGAAAAUCAGUCCUGAUUUGUUUCUCCUGGAGUUUUCUUCUUUAUGUGAUCCUUCAUAAAAGCUGCUAAUAUGGGAAAGAUUGAAAUCAGCAAGUUUCUGGCUGUAAGCUAAAAGAGGCUCUUGAAUCAUAUUUCCGCCUGCUUAGCAAAUUUCUCUUGCGACAAUUGGAUGUUAUUUGGGGUUCCAUACUAGCAGGAAGAAGUACAAGCAAAGCUAAGUCAUUUUGAGAAUAAAUAUUAUCUCUCUAUAUAUUUGUAAAUGUUAUUUUCUUUUUUUUUGAGGUUUAUGAUUGAUCCUUGGCAUGUGUCCCCUUGUGUAUUGCUCUACUAAAAAUAGCCUAAAAAAGAA
RNAcentral lists this long non-coding RNA (889 nucleotides) under Homo sapiens (human). RNAcentral's name for it is "HSALNT0307796". Lineage: Eukaryota; Metazoa; Chordata; Mammalia; Primates; Hominidae. The record is from RNAcentral.